AGUGAACGCUGGCGGCGUGCCUAAUACAUGCAAGUCGAACGGAGUGGCGCACGGGUGAGUAAUAUAUAGCUAAUCUGCCCCUUGCUGGAGGACAACAGUUAGAAAUGACGGCUAAUACUCCAUAGCAAGGGAUGAGACUAUAUCGUAUCAGCUAGUCGGUGGGGUAACGGCCUACCGAGGCUAUGACGCGUAACUGGUCUGCGAGGAUGAUCAGUCAACUUGUAACGGAGGCAGGGGUCAAACUCCUACGGGAAGCAGCGGUAGGCAAUAUUGCGCAAUGGGGGAGACCCUGACGCGGCGUCGGGGCGUGGAGGAUGACACGUUUCGGAGAGUAAACUCCUUUUGUUAGGGACGCGGUACCUAACGAAUAAGCACCGGCUAACUCCGUGCCAGCAGCCGCGGUAAUUC
Molecule: ribosomal RNA, 408 nt
Filed under: uncultured bacterium
Lineage: Bacteria
Description: partial 16S ribosomal RNA
Rfam family: Bacterial small subunit ribosomal RNA
Source: RNAcentral